AUACGUAGGUGGCAAGCGUUGUCCGGAUUUACUGGGCGUAAAGGGUGCGUAGGUGGAUAUUUAAGUGAGAUGUGAAAUCCCCGAGCUUAACUUGGGGCCUGCAUUUCAAACUGGAUAUCUAGAGUGCAGGAGAGGAGAAUGGAAUUCCUAGUGUAGCGGUGAAAUGCGUAGAGAUUAGGAAGAACACCGGUGGCGAAGGCGGCAACCUGGCUCAUUACUGACGCUGAGGCGCGAAAGCGUGGGGAGC
RNAcentral lists this ribosomal RNA (247 nucleotides) under uncultured bacterium. RNAcentral describes it as "partial 16S ribosomal RNA". It matches the Rfam family "Bacterial small subunit ribosomal RNA", at positions 523 to 769 of the family's 1533-position model. The record is from RNAcentral.